GCCAAUGUAGCUCAGCCUGGCUAGAGCACUCGCCUUGUAAGCGAAAGGUCGCGAGUCCAAAUCUCGCCAUUGGCUCCA
This 78-nucleotide transfer RNA is filed under the name Nitrosopumilales archaeon. RNAcentral's name for it is "tRNA-Thr". It matches the Rfam family "tRNA". Rfam says of the family: Transfer RNA (tRNA) molecules are approximately 80 nucleotides in length. Their secondary structure includes four short double-helical elements and three loops (D, anti-codon, and T loops). Further hydrogen bonds mediate the characteristic L-shaped molecular structure. tRNAs have two regions of fundamental functional importance: the anti-codon, which is responsible for specific mRNA codon recognition, and the 3' end, to which the tRNAs corresponding amino acid is attached (by aminoacyl-tRNA synthetases). tRNAs cope with the degeneracy of the genetic code in two manners: having more than one tRNA (with a specific anti-codon) for a particular amino acid; and 'wobble' base-pairing, i.e. permitting non-standard base-pairing at the 3rd anti-codon position. The record is from RNAcentral. RNAcentral also lists the same sequence under 1 other name. Lineage: Archaea; Thermoproteati; Nitrososphaerota; Nitrososphaeria; Nitrosopumilales.